GACGAACGCUGGCGGCGUGCCUAAUACAUGCAAGUAGAACGCUGAAGAGAGGAGCUUGCUCUUCUUGGAUGAGUUGCGAACGGGUGAGUAACGCGUAGGUAACCUGCCUUGUAGCGGGGGAUAACUAUUGGAAACGAUAGCUAAUACCGCAUAACAAUGGAUGACACAUGUCAUUUAUUUGAAAGGGGCAAUUGCUCCACUACAAGAUGGACCUGCGUUGUAUUAGCUAGUAGGUGAGGUAAUGGCCCACCUAGGCGACGAUACAUAGCCGACCUGAGAGGGUGAUCGGCCACACUGGGACUGGGACACGGCCCAGACUCCUUCGGGAGGCAGCAGUAGGGAAUCUUCGGCAAUGGGGGCAACCCUGACCGAGCAACGCCGCGUGAGUGAAGAAGGGUUUCGGAUCGUAAAGCUCUGUUGUAAGUCAAGAACGGGUGUGAGAGUGGAAAGUUCACACUGUGACGGUAGCUUACCAGAAAGGGACGGCUAACUACGUG
RNAcentral lists this ribosomal RNA (497 nucleotides) under uncultured bacterium. Its description in RNAcentral is "partial 16S ribosomal RNA". It matches the Rfam family "Bacterial small subunit ribosomal RNA", at positions 28 to 507 of the family's 1533-position model. The record is from RNAcentral.